This 1473-nucleotide ribosomal RNA is filed under the name Triticum aestivum (bread wheat). Its description in RNAcentral is "partial small subunit ribosomal RNA". Lineage: Eukaryota; Viridiplantae; Streptophyta; Magnoliopsida; Poales; Poaceae. The record is from RNAcentral.
AUGGCUGCGACGACGAGGGUAUCUCGCGCUCUCCUGCUCGUCGGCGUCGUCCUCACGGCGCAGCUGUGCGCUUGCACGGCGUACGGCGGCGAUGGGUUUAGCGUGGAGUUCAUCCACCGCGACUCCGUUGGGUCGCCGUUCCACGACCCCUCGCUCACCGCGCACGGGCGCGUGGUCAAGGCGCUCGCGCGCUCCUACGCCCGCGCCGACGCACCGUCGGGUCACGGCGUCGUGUCCGAGCUCACCUCCACGCCGUUCGAGUACCUGAUGGCCGUGAACGUGGGCACGCCGCCCACCCGUCUGCUCGCCAUCGCCGACACCGGCAGCGACCUCGUCUGGCUCAACUGCAGCAAGAAGCACGGUCCUGGUCCGGCGUUUGCCGGUGACGCGCCCUCGCCCCCGCCGCGGCCGGGCGUCGUGUUCGACCCCUCCAAGUCCAAGACGUACCGCCUCGUGGGCUGCGACUCCGGCGCGUGCCGCGCUCUCCCGGACUCGUCCUGCGCCGGCGGCGACAAGUGCACCUACUACUACUACUAUGGCGACGGCUCGGCGACGAGCGGCCUCCUCUCCACCGAGACCUUCACCUUCGCCGACGCCCCCGGCGCCCGCUGCGGCGACCGCACGACGCGCGUGCCAAACGUCAACUUCGGCUGCGGCACGAACUUUGUCGGCUCCUUCAUCGGGGACGGCCUCGUCGGCCUCGGCAACAGCAACCUCUCCCUCGUCACGCAGCUCGGCGCACACGCCUCGCUCGGCCAGAGGUUCUCCUACUGCCUCGUGCCCUACUCCAUCAACGCCUCCUCCGCGCUCAACUUCGGCGCCCGCGCCGCCGUGACGGAGCCGGGUGCGGCCACGACGCCGCUGAUCCCGUCCAGGGUGAAGACCUACUACACCAUCGAGCUCGCGUCCGUCGAGGUCGGCAACGCGACCUACAAGGCGCCGCGCCAGACCCCCGCCAUCGUCGACUCCGGCACGACGCUGACGUUCCUCGACAAGGCGCUGCUAGACCCGCUGGUGAAGGAGCUGGCCGGGCGGAUCAAGCUCCCGAAGGCCCCGCCGCCGGCGGACCUCCAGCUGCCGCUCUGCUACAACGUGACCGGGCUAAAGGAGGGGCAGAUCGCGGCGAAGAUCCCUGACGUGAAGCUGGGGCUGGGCGGCGGUGCGGUGGUGACGCUGAAGGCGUUGAACACGUUCGUGGUGGUGCAGGCGGAGACCCUGUGCCUGGCGAUCGCGCCGGCGUCGGAGCGCCUUCGGACGUCGAUCAUCGGGAACAUCGCGCAGCAGAACAUGCACGUCGGGUACGACCUCGACAAGCGCACCGUCACCUUCGCGGCAGCCGACUGCGCGAGGUCGCACCACGGCCACGGCCAUGCCCACGCUCGCGCGCCCGCCCCCGCCCCGGUACAUGCCCACUCCCGCGCCCCCGCCCCCGCCCCCGCACCCGCACAUGAGCGGCUCCGUGUAGGCGUGUAG